GAGAUGUCAGCCAGUAGGUUGUGGCAGCCUGUCAGAAGUGACUGGAGACCUUUGUUGGAUGAAUAAAGCCUAUCCACUCCCUGUUCAACCUGACAACAACACAGAAGGCAUGGGGCACCCAGUCACAGUCCUGCUGCUCAUCUUUCAAACUGCAGGAGAUGAAUAGCAAUGUCACCCCAGGACACACCACCCUGGAGGCACUGCCAGGAGAGUCAUGGCAACAUCUCAGCAGGUGGUUUUCAGAAAUCCUCAGACCAAAGCAAACACUGCCACAGAAAAAUGUUGCAAUUCAACCCAGCUUUGAGGGAAGUGCCCCUGAUAACUUCUCAGCUCCAAAGAGAAGCAGUGGAGGCUGGGGCCACCGAGUCUCCAUGGAAAUCACAGAGGGUCUCACCGAGUCCAACCCAAAGGAGAGGAGCGGGUUUGAGCUGUGUUUGCAUAUCUGGCCAGGAAGAGAGGACUCAUGUCUGCCACAAAGGUCUCAGUGUGGUUUGUGCUGAAGUGGGAUCCCACAUCUGGGAUCUACCCAAGAGCUACAUCAUCCUCUCUUAGAGAUAGGAAAGCUUCAUAAAGGGAAGACUUUGAAUCAGGAGUCCGCUGUGCAUUGCAACAUUUAUCGCCGUGAUUCACGUACCUCCAGUGUUACUGCAAAUCCGGGCAAAGUGUGAAAUGAUUCUCUCUCUUAUCUUUGAGGAAAUGCAACAUGCUCCAACCAUGCUGACUCUGAAAGUCAGCUCUACGCUGCUUUGGGCCACAGAAAUUGUCAGGAUUUUUGAAAAAGCUCAACAAACCUCAACACCACAAUCGCGCCAAUUAUUUUUGAAGUGAUUUGGGAACAACUCAGGGUUUUUUCUUUUCGCCUUAUGCAGCUACAUAGACCCCCUUGGAGUUCUGCAGGUACAUACCAACUUAUGAAGGAGCUGGAGGCACUAAGAGAGCUGGAACAUGAUGAAUAACUGUCAAAUUACAGGGAACACUUUAAAAUGUCUUAAACCUCUCCCCUGCCCUGCUUCAUCGUGGCAACUAGGCCAUGAGCCUUUAGCUAGGCUGUCUUUCCCUGAGGCUGUCCUUUCACUUGGGACAGGAGAUGAUCUGAAACCAUGGACAAGGGGUUCAGAAUCUUCAUGACAAAAUCAUGACAUGGAAUAGAAAGAGAGACUGGGUGAGCUGCAGCACAGGGGAUCAUGCAUGUGCCAGCACCAGAGUCUUCAGACUUUGAUCAUACCCACAGCUUGACUGCCAGAUAAACCACCUGCUUUUGUAUUCACAAUUGCAAAAUGGCUCUGCAGCAUCUCUAGCAAUUGCUCAGAGAAGAAAGAAAUACUUUUCUUGCAUUCUUAGCAUAGCAGGUGUUUUUAGAAAUUAAAGGAUUAAAGAGAUGAAUUCUGCAUUUAAUUUUGGCCCUUUGCAAUAUCCCUGCUCUGUGUCUGAAAUGUUUUCUUCGCCAAAGAGACAAGCAGAAGUAGUCAGCUCUUUACAGACAGUGUUUUUAGGUUAAUCAAUGUUAAGGUUGUUUUCUUAUACACAUUUCAGUACUGUUUUUUAUUUUAGAUAGCUGGGGGUACUUUGUUGCCCUGCUGUAUUUAGCAGAAAAACUUAAGAAGUUUGUUUCUCACUCCUGUUUGCCAUGGAGGCCUCAAUCCCAGAGAAAAUAGUAAAAGACACUCAGUUAAUCAAAGGUUAAACAAAAUGAAUGAAGUUUGUAUGGUGCCCUGAAGGUUAUUAGACUCAAGGUCUGAGCAGCUGCCAAGGGGAGUGAGUUCCAGGGCAGGAGCAUUCAUCUGAGAAAUUCCAGUUGCUGGACGUGGAGGGGUUGAACCUGGGAGCUGCAGGCGCCUCCCAGCUGAGCUCGGCUGCCACGGCUGCCAUGUGGGGAAGGACCCCUGUCCCCUCCCACACUCCUGGUCCAGAGAGCAAAUGGAUGGGAAGGCACACCCCACUCUGUGGGAGGGAAAUAGGGACUUGUCAAUUGUUCCAGAGGCCUGGCUGUUUCCCUUACCAGCUGUGGAGUGAGCAGGGAGCUCUAAAAUCCAAAGACAGGCAAUUCCUGGGCGUCAGGGCUGAUAAAAGGGCUCAUGGAGCCCGCUACAAGGCACGUCUGGAAGUGGCACGGAGUCAAGGGGUGCAGCAAGCAAUGCAGCGUGACCAGUGGUCAGCUUUGUGUCCUCUGAGCUGCUCUCCAUCCACAAAUGUCUUUGCCUCCCUAUCAGAGUGAUGCUCUGGAGUGGCAGCUGGUUUAUCUUCCACUUCAGCCCAAUGUGGAGGUGGAAUUGAAAUCACAGGGUAUGGAUGCAAGAUGGAAACAGACAGGCAAAGUGUUGUCACAUCCUUUCAACUUCCAAGUGCCUCUUUCUGUGAUAUAGAAGAAUUUUGACUGAAUAAAGUCAUUAAGUGAAAACUAUAAAAGCA
RNAcentral lists this long non-coding RNA (2409 nucleotides) under Junco hyemalis (dark-eyed junco). RNAcentral's name for it is "lncRNA (ENSJHYG00000016174.1)". Lineage: Eukaryota; Metazoa; Chordata; Aves; Passeriformes; Passerellidae. The record is from RNAcentral.